AAUGGAUGGAAAUCUGAUCCAGCCAUGCCGCGUGCAGGAAGACGGCCCUAUGGGUUGUAAACUGCUUUUGUAUGGGAGCAAUAAGGUCUACGUGUAGACCGAUGAGAGUACCAUACGAAUAAGCACCGGCUAACUCCGUGCCAGCAGCCGCGGUAAUACGGAGGGUGCAAGCGUUAUCCGGAUUUAUUGGGUUUAAAGGGUGCGUAGGCGGUUUGAUAAGUCAGCGGUGAAAUAUUUCAGCUUAACUGGAAGGGUGCCGUUGAUACUGUCAGGCUUGAAUUUAGUUGCUGUGGGUGGAAUGUGUGGUGUAGCGGUGAAAUGCAUAGAUAUCACACAGAAUAUCGAUUGCGAAGGCAGCUCACAAAGCUAAUAUUGACGCUGAUGCACGAAAGUGUGGGGAUCAAA
RNAcentral lists this ribosomal RNA (405 nucleotides) under uncultured bacterium. RNAcentral's name for it is "bacterial SSU rRNA". It matches the Rfam family "Bacterial small subunit ribosomal RNA", at positions 370 to 772 of the family's 1533-position model. The record is from RNAcentral.